This 460-nucleotide ribosomal RNA is filed under the name uncultured bacterium. Its description in RNAcentral is "partial 16S ribosomal RNA". It matches the Rfam family "Bacterial small subunit ribosomal RNA", at positions 338 to 795 of the family's 1533-position model. The record is from RNAcentral.
CCUACGGGUUGCUGCAGUGAGGAAUAUUGGUCAAUGGGCUUACGCCUGAACCAGCCAAGUCGCGUGAGGGAAGACUGCCCUAUGGGUUGUAAACCUCUUUUGUCAGGGAGCAAUUGACGCUACGUGUAGCGUUAUCGACCGUACCUGAAGACAAAGCAGCAGCUAACUCCGUGCAAGCAGCCGCGGUAAUACGGAGGAUGCGAGCGUUAUCCGGAUUUGUGGGGUUUAAUGGGUGCGUAGGCGGAAUGCCAAGUCAGCGGUAAAAUCGCGGGGCUCAACCGCGCUCCGCCGUUGAAACUGGCGGGCUGGAGUGGGCGAGAGGUAUGCGGAAUGCGUGGUGUAGCGGUGAAAUGCAUAGAUAUAACGAAGAACUCCGAUUGCGAAGGCAGCAUACCGGAGCCCAACUGACGCUGAAGCACGAAAGCGUGGAUAUCGAACAGGAUUAGAUACCCUUGUAGUC